RNAcentral lists this ribosomal RNA (301 nucleotides) under uncultured bacterium. RNAcentral describes it as "partial 16S ribosomal RNA". It matches the Rfam family "Bacterial small subunit ribosomal RNA", at positions 509 to 807 of the family's 1533-position model. The record is from RNAcentral.
CAGUCGCCGCGGGAAUACGAAGGGGGCUAGCGUUGCUCGGAAUGACUGGGCGUAAAGGGCGCGUAGGCGGAUUGUUUAGUUAGGCGUGAAAUUCCUGGGCUUAACCUGGGGACUGCGCUUAAUACAGGCAGUCUAGAGUGAGGAAGAGGGUUGUGGAAUUCCCAGUGUAGAGGUGAAAUUCGUAGAUAUUGGGAAGAACACCGGUGGCGAAGGCGGCAACCUGGUCCUUGACUGACGCUGAGGCGCGAAAGCGUGGGGAGCAAACAGGAUUAGAUACCCGUGUAGUCCCUGUCUCUUAUAC